RNAcentral lists this ribosomal RNA (303 nucleotides) under uncultured Fusobacterium sp. RNAcentral describes it as "bacterial SSU rRNA". It matches the Rfam family "Bacterial small subunit ribosomal RNA", at positions 1212 to 1513 of the family's 1533-position model. Lineage: Bacteria; Fusobacteriati; Fusobacteriota; Fusobacteriia; Fusobacteriales; Fusobacteriaceae. The record is from RNAcentral.
GGCUACACACGUGCUACAAUGGGUAGUACAGAGAGUCGCAAAGCCGCGAGGUGGAGCUAAUCUCAGAAAACUAUUCUUAGUUCGGAUUGUACUCUGCAACUCGAGUACAUGAAGUUGGAAUCGCUAGUAAUCGCGAAUCAGCAAUGUCGCGGUGAAUACGUUCUCGGGUCUUGUACACACCGCCCGUCACACCACGAGAGUUGGUUGCACCUGAAGUAGCAGGCCUAACCGUAAGGAGGGAUGCUCCGAGGGUGUGAUUAGCGAUUGGCUUGAAGUCGUAACAAGGUAUCCGUACGGGAACGU